AUACGUAGGGGGCAAGCGUUGUCCGGAAUUACUGGGCGUAAAGAGCUCGUAGGCGGCUCAGCAAGUCGGUCGUGAAAGCCCGAGGCUCAACCUCGGAACUGCGGUCGAUACUGCUGUGGCUAGAGUCCGGUAGAGGAGAGUGGAAUUCCCGGUGUAGCGGUGGAAUGCGCAGAUAUCGGGAGGAACACCAGUGGCGAAGGCGGCUCUCUGGGCCGGUACUGACGCUGAGGAGCGAAAGCGUGGGGAGCAAACAGGAUUAGAUACCCGAGUAGUCC
RNAcentral lists this ribosomal RNA (275 nucleotides) under uncultured bacterium. Its description in RNAcentral is "partial 16S ribosomal RNA". It matches the Rfam family "Bacterial small subunit ribosomal RNA", at positions 523 to 796 of the family's 1533-position model. The record is from RNAcentral.